This 587-nucleotide ribosomal RNA is filed under the name uncultured bacterium. Its description in RNAcentral is "partial 16S ribosomal RNA". It matches the Rfam family "Bacterial small subunit ribosomal RNA", at positions 355 to 1375 of the family's 1533-position model. The record is from RNAcentral.
UGGGGAAUUUUGGACAAUGGGCGAAAGCCUGAUCCAGCAAUGCCGCGUGUGUGAAGAAGGCCUUCGGGUUGUAAAGCACUUUUGUCCGGAAAGAAAUCCUUGGCUCUAAUACAGUCGGGGGAUGACGGUACCGGAAGAAUAAGCACCGGCUAACUACGUGCCAGCAGCCGCGGUAAUACGUAGGGUGCAAGCGUUAAUCGGAAUUACUGGGCGUAAAGCGUGCGCAGGCGGUUUGCUAAGACCGAUGUGAAAUCCCCGGGCUCAACCUGGGAACUGCAUUGGUGACUGGCAGGCUAGAGUAUGGCAGAGGGGGGUAGAAUUCCACGUGUAGCAGUGAAAUGCGUAGAGAUGUGGAGGAAUACCGAUGGCGAAGGCAGCCCCCUGGGCCAAUACUGACGCUCAUGCACGAAAGCGUGGGGAGCAAACAGGAUUAGAUACCCUGGUAGUCCACGCCCUAAAACGAUGUCAACUAGUUGUUGGGGGAUUCAUUUCCUUAGUAACGUAGCUAACGCGUGAAGUUGACCGCCUGGGGAGUACGGUCGCAAGAUUAAAACUCAAAUGAAUUGACGGGGUCAUAGCUGUUUCCU